Molecule: ribosomal RNA, 506 nt
Filed under: uncultured bacterium
Lineage: Bacteria
Description: partial 16S ribosomal RNA
Rfam family: Bacterial small subunit ribosomal RNA
Source: RNAcentral
AUUGAACGCUGGCGGCAGGCCUAACACAUGCAAGUCGAACGGUAACAGGAAACAGCUUGCUGUUUCGCUGACGAGUGGCGGACGGGUGAGUAAUGUCUGGGAAACUGCCUGAUGGAGGGGGAUAACUACUGGAAACGGUAGCUAAUACCGCAUAACGUCGCAAGACCAAAGAGGGGGACCUUCGGGCCUCUUGCCAUCGGAUGUGCCCAGAUGGGAUUAGCUAGUAGGUGGGGUAACGGCUCACCUAGGCGACGAUCCCUAGCUGGUCUGAGAGGAGGACCAGCCACACUGGAACUGAGAAACGGUCCAGACUCCUACGGGCGGCAGCAGUGGGGAAUAUUGCACAAUGGGCGAAAGCCUGAUGCAGCCAUGCCGCGUGUAUGAAGAAGGCCUUCGGGUUGUAAAGUACUUUCAGCGGGGAGGAAGGGAGUAAGGUCAAUACCUUUGCUCAUUGACGUUACCCGCAGAAGAAGCACCGGCUAACUCCGUGCCAGCAGCCGCCGUAA